GUGUAAUUGACUGUAUAUUACAUGGGGUUGUCUGUUGAAUGUUUAAAGCAUCUUGAGCUGCUUUACCAUUGGAAAGGUGGUAUAAGUCCUUUCUGUAGGCGAUAAAGGUCAUGGCACUUAAUGGAUGGAUAGAUAGCUUUGGCACUUAAGACGAGCGCGAGACUAAAGCCAGGCAGCCACGUAGCGCGAGCUCUGCCGAGAAUCUCCAGCUUUAGCACGGUAAACAGUGGAGGGCGGUAGUUGCAGAAGAAACUCAUUAUUCCGCACAGAACGCAUGCAAACAGCUGUAAAAGAUCCAUACGUGCUCGCUCAUAUCGCCGAGGUGAUCUCUAUUUCGAUUUGCAAACCAUAUUGAUUUCUCCGAUUAUUCUUUCACGCCCGUGGAGCUCGCGCUCUGCAACUCCGAGUGCUCGCGAUGACGGAGAGGGCGCUCGUGCUUCGGGUGAGUAGUCCAGCGGAGACCGGAGCUCGCCACAACUUCUAUUUCCCCUCCACCCCCCUUUCAUUUGCAAUUAUUUACAAAACAAUAACAAUAAUGACAUCCGUUCGUCUGUCGCGAAACGGCACAGAAAUCCUCGCACGAGGAUCUGCAAAGGUAUGUCACUGUCACAAACAAACAGUGCUCGUUUUGGAGACUUAUUUGUCAAUCUGUAGAUGGCUUUUUUUGUUGUUGUUUGUUUGUUUGUUUGUUCGGAAUCGAGCACGAGGAUUGCUCAAAUGUUUUUGCUUGACGUUAAAUGUUUGUUUGCAAACAAAACCAUGCAAAGCAACGUCGCGCGCUGCGGUGCAGUUUGGAUUUGCAAGCGUGCAGCAGAGCAUGGGAACGUUAGCAAACGUGUAUGUGCGAAAGGGGAGAAAGAGAAAAAAUCUCAGGAGCAGCGUGUUGUAAAUCUGGGCGCCUUUUGAUGGUUUUGUGAAAAAAGAGGCAAAGUCUUAAGCAUACCGCUAGGCUUGUGGUUAUGUCAGUUAAUGCAGUUUGCUGUUGGAAAUGGUGUAUCUGGGAAGCAGGGAUUAAAAAAAUAUAAAGCAUAUGAGGCAGCACUGUGUGUACGGUCUGGUAUUUGUUUAGCUAGCUAGCCAGUUGCUAACUACAUUCACAGAGUCCCAUUGCACGCAGCUGUGUUCUUGCUAACUGACUAGCACUACUCGGUUAGCCCAAAACGGCCUGCUGCUUGUCUCGUUUUGACCAACCAAGGUUUCCUUCAGCUUAACCCUUUCUUUGCGCUCUUUUCCUUGAAAGUUGUUCAUUGUCUACAAGGCUGCUUUUUGUCCACAGCCUUUCACAGGUGUUGCUAGAUUGAGGUUGUUCAACCGUGGCCUUUCUAUAACGGAGCUGAUUUUUGGUGCUGGACGCAAGGCCUUUCUGAAACACGAGUGGUUCUUGUUGUUUUUGUUUUUGUUUUUGGUUAAAGCAGAGUUAGAGCUAAGCGAACUUUUUUGCCAAGCUCGAGGGAGGAAUUUCUACUUCCCUGCUUUAGAAACUUGUAGACCUGGGUCAACUGACAGCUAUUCGGAAUAUGUUUUGUCCAUCACAACAAACUAGUAUGUAUUAAGGACAUGAUUAGCAUUAGCUAAAAUAACUGUAACUCCUAUUCCUUGUUUACAAUCCGUGCCAUAAAAGGGCCUUUAGGAUACAUGUUGAAUAUUUCUCGACCCCCCCAAAAAAAUGGUUGCUUCAUGUCCUGUCAGUCCAUGAAACAGGACAUGAAGCUACCAUUUUUGGUGUUUCAUGAAACACUUUGAUGAAUAUGUUUAUUGAGUUUUUGGACAUUUUCGUUAAAAACAAACAGUCGAGGGAUAGACUAUGACAUGAAGUGUUUACUUGGUAAGUAAAUAGACCACUGAAAGAUUCGUUUAGGUUUAGUUUAUUGUUUUAAAACAACAGAUGUUGGAACCAAAAGUGCUGUACAAGAAAUAUAAAACAGUAUUAAAAACUAAACAACAACAAAAAAGGACCAAUGAAAAAAUUUACACCCUCAGUGAAAACAUAUUGAAAACAAAAAGGUCUUCGAGGAGGAUUUAAACACAGGAACAGAAUUAGAAGAUCUAAUGUGGAGAGUAGUGAUGGGAAGUUCGGAUCGUUUCAGCAGAAUAUAAUUAAAACGUUGCAUGUUAAAUUCCCCAACUCUUUUAGUACUUAUGCAAACGAUCACAUUUGGAAUAAAAUGUAAAAAAAAAAAUAAUAAUAAUUUAAAAAAAUAUAUAGGUUAAUGCAGCCAAGGCUGAAUUAUGAGAAACAGAAAUUAUUCAUUAAUUGCUUAGCAUUAUGUCUUCAGGCUGUGCAAUCUGUUAGGUCACCUCCCGAUCCGAGUCGUUCUUUUGUCACGUCACGUUUGUAACGUCUGUUCCCCGUGUCUUGAGUGUUUGGGUUCGAGUUGUUUGUACGUCUCGUCACGUGAACUAGUCAUUUCUGUUUCCUGUGCAAAACCUAUGGGGAUGUUGCAGCGCAUGCAUGGUCAUAAAGUUAACAAAUCACUCUCUGAGACAACUCGUUCAAAAUGAGCGAAUCAUUCAUGAAU
Ictalurus punctatus (channel catfish) is the source of this 2519-nucleotide long non-coding RNA. The record is from Ensembl. Lineage: Eukaryota; Metazoa; Chordata; Actinopteri; Siluriformes; Ictaluridae.